This 207-nucleotide ribosomal RNA is filed under the name uncultured bacterium. RNAcentral describes it as "partial 16S ribosomal RNA". It matches the Rfam family "Bacterial small subunit ribosomal RNA", at positions 470 to 677 of the family's 1533-position model. The record is from RNAcentral.
UGACUGUACUUGAAGAAUAAUCCACCGCUAAUUCCGUGCCACACCCGCGGAAAUACGGGAGUGGCAAGUUUUAUCCGGAAUUAUUGGGCGUAAAGCGUCCGCAGGCGGCUUUGUAAGUCUGCUGUCAAAGCGUGGAUCUCAACUCCAUUUCGGCAGUGGAAACUACGAGGCUUGAGUGUGGUAGGGGCUGAGGGAAUUCCCGGUGUA